UACGGAGGGUGCAAACGUUGCUCGGAAUCAUUGGGCGUAAAGCGCACGUAGGUGGCCUAGCAAGUCGGGUGUGAAAUCCCUCGGCUUAACCGAGGAAGUGCAUUCGAAACUACAAGGCUUGAAUACUGAAGAGGGUCUCGGAAUUCCCGGUGUAGAGGUGAAAUUCGUAGAUAUCGGGAGGAACACCAGUGGCGAAGGCGGAGACCUGGGCAGAUAUUGACACUGAGGUGCGAAAGCGUGGGGAGCAAACAGG
This 253-nucleotide ribosomal RNA is filed under the name uncultured bacterium. RNAcentral describes it as "partial 16S ribosomal RNA". It matches the Rfam family "Bacterial small subunit ribosomal RNA", at positions 524 to 776 of the family's 1533-position model. The record is from RNAcentral.